AAGCUUAUGUCUGAAAUAAGUUGUUUAUGUUAAUAGAUACUAGCAGGACUUGCCACCACCAACAGGAUGUUAUUGGAAAAACAAAGCAAACAGAAGUGGGUGGUGUUUAAUAACUUUCCUAGAGGUGGCAGUACUUGAACAGAAGCCAGGAAUCCAGUUCCCCAUGCUGCCUUAUCAUCACCUGAUAAUUAAAAAGGUAUCAUCUCAGUCCAGCUCUGGGGGCUAGAGUUACAGAAAGACUAGAAUAAUGACAAAGUGCUACAAAUAUCCAGAGCGCUGUUACACAGAUAUGAAGAUCCAGGAUGGCUGCUUCUUUUACCUUCACAUUUUCAGAAGCAGGAGAAGCUGCAGGGUCACAGCAGUGGGAUGAUCAGAUGGCUCUUGUAGUGGGUAGAAGGAAUCCAAGCAGCAGCGGAGGAUGUUGCAGCAGCAGGUAUGAGACAUGCUUUAUUAUAGCUGUAGUUUUGAGUCCCUUGUCUGUUUUGAAUUGAUCUGUCGGUACUUGACUGACUUGCUCUCCUUGGUCUCCUUGUACUCAUUUACAUGCUCUAUUACGAUGUUGGCAGUGCUGGAUAUCCGUGAUUACUUUUAAGUGCACUCUUUCUUUCUGGUAUAUUGAUGAUUCAUACUAUUAGGAGAGGCUUCCUGCCUUUCCAUGACUUUGUGAAAAUGAUCUAUUUCAUAAUGUCUCCUUACUCUUAGCAGGGCUUGUGCUCUGUUCCCAAAACUCCCACUGUUUUCACUGCAAGCAUGACCAGACUGUGAAAUAGCUUGGCUGGUCUGGUGAAUAAUCUGUUAGUCUCUUUUAAUAAACUGC
This 817-nucleotide long non-coding RNA is filed under the name Aquila chrysaetos chrysaetos. RNAcentral describes it as "lncRNA (ENSACCG00020006134.1)". Lineage: Eukaryota; Metazoa; Chordata; Aves; Accipitriformes; Accipitridae. The record is from RNAcentral.